AGGUAGUGCAUCACAAUGAUGUCACAAGGGGGAAGAGGUCAAAAUAAAGACUUAACAGGAGAAUGAUGUCACUGAGAGAAACUGAAGUCACGAAGAGAAAUGUAAUGCAUUCUGCUUAGAACAUAUUCCAUUGGAGGUGCUGGGAAGACAUUUAAGUUAUACAGGAAGACAUUAAGAAGUCAAAAAAGAAGCUGGAAAUGCGGGGGUGAUGUCAAGAAAAGUCAACAAGGACACAAGAGUUCUGUGCAUCAACUAACACCAAGAAUGUAAAUUGCUAUGGAAGUACUAUGCCUAGAGAACCACAACGACUAUCCCCAUAAAGCUGAGGCCCAUUGAAAUGUUCUGGCCAAAGAAGAACUACGUAAAAGAAGACACAUACACCCUGGAUGACAAAGACCCCUUCUUCCCCACUGUCUCACUGCACCUCCUUUCCCUCCCUAUAAAAGACCUGCCACGUACCUAAGUUUCUGAAAAUGGAGCUUUGGGGAAGACAGCCCUUCCAUCUUCUGAGGAUCCCAGCCCUUGAACAAAACUUUCCACCACCACCACUUCCCACCAACUCCCUCUCUCAAGUACUGGGUUUCAGGUGGAGAAUUCUGGUUUGCUGUAUUUGUUGAAGCCACAAUCUGCAAAGUGAAAACCGCAUUUAAAUAAAUGUCUUGAAUGAUGGAAGAAAAUGGAAUAGGGCAUAUUGAUAGUGCCGGAGAUCAACUAUCCUAGGCAAGAGAGGAAGGCAUAGUGAGAGAGAAUAUCAGUGGUCGAACAUGAGAAAAGCAACAAACAGCUACAGUGCCAACAUCACCCCGGGGACUCAGCACACAAUCAAAGGCCUGGUCACAGCCUACUUGCCAUAUCUGUCCGUAUGUCCCACAGAGCCAAGGGCACGCUGCUGUGAUGCAUACCAACAGUGUUACUGAGAAACCCAACUGACCAAGCAGCCAACGUUGCCAGAGAUGUUACUUACUCAAGAUAUUAGUCCUUUGUCUGAGGAAGGAAAUUUCAUGAUGCAUUAGCGCCCUUAUAAGAAGAACAAAGGAUCAGAGCCAUCUUUCCCACCAAGUAAGGAGCAUAUAGCAAGAAGCUGCCAUCUACAAACCAGGAAGAGACCCUUCACCAGAACCUGACCAUGCCAGCACCUUGAUCUUGGACUUUCCAGCAUGUAGAACUGUGAGAAAUAAAUGUCUGU
This is a long non-coding RNA of Heterocephalus glaber (naked mole-rat), 1186 nucleotides long. RefSeq lists it as uncharacterized. Lineage: Eukaryota; Metazoa; Chordata; Mammalia; Rodentia; Bathyergidae. The record is from RefSeq and is a predicted model, not a curated record.